UGAAUAGCUUGUACAUACUCGAAAGGA
RNAcentral lists this small RNA (27 nucleotides) under Bombyx mori (domestic silkworm). RNAcentral describes it as "ovarian small RNA-31075". The record is from RNAcentral. Lineage: Eukaryota; Metazoa; Arthropoda; Insecta; Lepidoptera; Bombycidae.